Molecule: ribosomal RNA, 253 nt
Filed under: uncultured bacterium
Lineage: Bacteria
Description: partial 16S ribosomal RNA
Rfam family: Bacterial small subunit ribosomal RNA
Source: RNAcentral
UACGUAGGGUGCAAGCGUUGUCCGGAAUUAUUGGGCGUAAAGAGCUCGUAGGUGGUUUGUUGCGUCGGCUGUGAAAUCCCGAGGCUCAACCUCGGGUCUGCAGUCGAUACGAGCAAACUAGAGUGUUGCAGGGGAGACUGGAAUUCCUGGUGUAGCGGUGUAAUGCGCAGAUAUCAGGAGGAACACCGGUGGCGAAGGCGGGUCUCUGGGCAACAACUGACGCUGAGGAGCGAAAGCGUGGGGAGCGAACAGG